RNAcentral lists this ribosomal RNA (682 nucleotides) under Corallococcus sp. Its description in RNAcentral is "bacterial SSU rRNA". It matches the Rfam family "Bacterial small subunit ribosomal RNA", at positions 49 to 713 of the family's 1533-position model. Lineage: Bacteria; Pseudomonadati; Myxococcota; Myxococcia; Myxococcales; Myxococcaceae. The record is from RNAcentral.
CUACCAUGCAGUCGAGCGCGAAUAGGGGCAACCCUUAGUAGAGCGGCGCACGGGUGCGUAACACGUGGAUAAUCUGCCUGAGUGCUCGGGAUAACCAGUCGAAAGAUUGGCUAAUACCGGAUAAGCCCACGGUUUCUUCGGAGACUGAGGGAAAAGGUGGCCUCUGUAUACAAGCUAUCACAUUCAGAUGAGUCCGCGGCCCAUCAGCUAGUUGGCGGGGUAAUGGCCCACCAAGGCGACGACGGGUAGCUGGUCUGAGAGGACGAUCAGCCACACUGGAACUGAGACACGGUCCAGACUCCUACGGGAGGCAGCAGUGGGGAAUUUUGCGCAAUGGGCGAAAGCCUGACGCAGCAACGCCGCGUGUGUGAUGAAGGUCUUUGGAUUGUAAAGCACUUUCGACCGGGAAGAAAACCCGUUGGCUAACAUCCAACGGCUUGACGGUACCGGGAGAAGAAGCACCGGCUAACUCUGUGCCAGCAGCCGCGGUAAUACAGAGGGUGCAAGCGUUGUUCGGAAUUAUUGGGCGUAAAGCGCGUGUAGGCGGCGUGACAAGUCGGGUGUGAAAGCCCUCAGCUCAACUGAGGAAGUGCGCCCGAAACUGUCGUGCUUGAGUGCCGGAGAGGGUGGCGGAAUUCCCCAAGUAGAGGUGAAAUUCGUAGAUAUGGGGAGGAACACCGGU